RNAcentral lists this ribosomal RNA (253 nucleotides) under uncultured bacterium. Its description in RNAcentral is "partial 16S ribosomal RNA". It matches the Rfam family "Bacterial small subunit ribosomal RNA", at positions 524 to 776 of the family's 1533-position model. The record is from RNAcentral.
UACAGAGGUGGCAAGCGUUGUUCGGAAUUACUGGGCGUAAAGCGCGCGUAGGCGGCCAUCUAAGUCAGACGUGAAAUCCCCCGGCUUAACCCUGGAACUGCGUCUGAUACUGGACGGCUGGAGUUUGGGAGAGGGAUGUAGAAUUCCAGGUGUAGCGGUGAAAUGCGUAGAUAUCGAGAGGAACACCUGCGGCGAAGGCGGGUUGCUGGGCUGAUACUGACGCUGAGGCGCGAAAGCCAGGGGAGCGAACGGG